UACGUAGGGUGCAAGCGUUAAUCGGAAUUACUGGGCGUAAAGCGUGCGCAGGCGGUUGUGUAAGACAGAUGUGAAAUCCCCGGGCUCAACCUGGGAACUGCAUUUGUGACUGCACGGCUCGAGUGCGGCAGAGGGGGAUGGAAUUCCGCGUGUAGCAGUGAAAUGCGUAGAUAUGCGGAGGAACACCGAUGGCGAAGGCAAUCCCCUGGGCCUGCACUGGCGCUCAUGCACGAAAGCGUGGGGAGCAAACAGG
Molecule: ribosomal RNA, 253 nt
Filed under: uncultured bacterium
Lineage: Bacteria
Description: partial 16S ribosomal RNA
Rfam family: Bacterial small subunit ribosomal RNA
Source: RNAcentral